CCAAAGAUAAAAAAACCGAAACCGCCGCCACCUCCACAACAACCAAAACCGGCCAAGGUAUUGAUUGCAAUGCCAUGUUAUUCUUCUUAUUCCUGCUUUCAGCGUUGACUAGACAAGUGAAGGCGAAGGAGGUGAAAAUCCUGAGGGUGCUUCAGCGACCGAGGGCACUCCUCCAGCAGAAAGAGCCUCUGGCGAAGGUCAAGCUGUUGAGGGAAAGGAAGGAGAGGCAGGAGAGGGAGGUGAAGGUGAAGAAGAGGGUGAAGAAGGACCUGAAGGACCUGAAGUAGCCGAAGGCGAGGGGGAUGAAGGUGGAGGACGGGAAACAGAGGAAGGAAAGAAUAAAAAGAAAAAGACAAAGAAGGCUCCCCCGCCGCCAGCAGUUGAAGAAGUCCUACCCGAUGAGUUUUCCUCUUCAUUCCAAGCAGGAGCAUUGUUGUACACAAAAAGUAGCAUGAACACAUUCUACGUAUCGCUAGAGGUGAGCACACUUGUCAACUCGUCAUAUUCUUACAUUUGGAAUUUUUCAUUUCCAGGGGAAGACGGGAUUGCUGUACGAAUCUCAUGCCGACUCUAAAGACGCUCUAGGAUAUGCGCCGUGGAGUCAAGGAACGCUAACUACGCUCGAGUACGUUACUCUUUUCUAGCUCAAUUACGCUUCAACCAUUGUUUAACUGUAGGUACACGCAUUCGAUGGAGUAUGUUGUGUCAGGAACAGCUGAUGGAGUCGUUCGCAUCAAUACUACUCCUCACGCUGGACAAUUGGGUUUAGUACAGCAGCAAAAGUACUGGGAGGUAUCAAUGCGUAACAUACAAGUUUCUCGUUUGACAUUCCUUUACAGGGUAAUGUUCACGAUUGCUACUCGGGUUCCAUUGGCAACUGUGUCAUGAGCUAUGACAAUUUGUAUUUGGUACUUGUUGUUGUUGCAUUCUAUUGAGUAUCUAACCUGACAUUCUCAGGCCAGUGUCGCCCAUGAUGGCAGCUUUUUCCUUUAUGAGAUGUCUUUGGAAACAGGGGCCCCUAGGCAUCCUGAUACAAAAACUAAAGGUUUUAUGUUAAUGGUGAUACAUUCCAGAGGCUGACUUUCACGUUUGUGCUGCAUUUGGCAGAUCUUGAAGAUACUUUGCCAGACGCAUCAGACGUCCCCCCUGGGGUCUAUAGCAUCGAGGAUGACAAACAGAAAACGGAACAAGAAAACAAGCUCAGGACUGCAUUGCAGAAGAAAAAGCUUGUCACUGACAGAUUGGAUAGGAUCCGGCGAGAACUGGAAGAGCUUAUCAGAGUAAACAAAGAAAAGACGCCAACCGAAAUGAUUCCUUUCGAGACUUUUGAGAUAGACUCGAGUUUGAGGGG
RNAcentral lists this long non-coding RNA (1351 nucleotides) under Selaginella moellendorffii. RNAcentral's name for it is "long non-coding RNA (SMOE_LNC001415)". The record is from RNAcentral. Lineage: Eukaryota; Viridiplantae; Streptophyta; Lycopodiopsida; Selaginellales; Selaginellaceae.